Danio rerio (zebrafish) is the source of this 1252-nucleotide non-coding RNA. NCBI's taxonomy places the organism in Eukaryota, Metazoa, Chordata, Actinopteri, Cypriniformes, Danionidae. The record is from RefSeq and is a predicted model, not a curated record.
UAAUAAAGUGGCCGGUGUUUGUUUCAACGCAAGUAUGACUUUCCCCGUGACUAGCACUGCAUCGAUUGGGACGGGCGUUACAGCAGGAACAACUGCAGUUCCACCACAAACAGACAUGACCGUCAUUGGAGUGGUCAUCGCCCUGAUCCUGCUGACCCUUGUCGUCGUUGGGGUUCUGCUGUACAGAUACCUGUGUCACAGUAAGGGGGUUUACCGAACCGCAGGUGAACCCGCUCCAGGAGUGGACCCAGACCAGGUCUACAAUGACACCGUCACCGAAAACAAGAAGGAAUAUUUCAUCUGAACCAUUCAGCAUCAGGAUGGAUUUAACCAAUGAUCAAAACGCAUGGACGGCUGCAGACAUCUGAAUAUGUCCAUGUAGAGAGGUUUAUAUGCAAGGCGUUUGGGGUGUAAACCACUAGUCUGUGCUUUAUGGAUGAAUGUUUUGUUGAAGGGAUACCAUUUGAGUUUUAUGUUAGAAGGAUGAGGCAGAUGUAAAAGCAGGCUUUAUUCAUGACGUCAAUAAGCUCAGCAUCAGUUUUGGUAUGGUAAAGUUACUGGGACAAUCUUUUUUUUUUUUUUUCGUCAGUCUGUUUAAAUAGUCCACUACAAGCAUUAUAAGUACUACUUCAGCAGAAAUAGUAAGGUCACAUACAUUGGAGUUAUUAUCAAUUACGAGUUCAGCUAGCUGCACCUCAAUGAAAUGCUAAACAUUGCAGGCACUGUACAUUUAAUUAGUUUUUAUGCAGUCAUGUGGCAUUUCUUUAUGCAUUUUUUCCCUUUUAUCAUUUAGAAUGGAUUUUUUAAAAGAUAAUAUAUAAAUCGCAAGAUUUUUUUAGAUUGUGAAAAGUUGGAGAAUACAGUCACAGUGCCUUGUUAACUUUUUAAAUUCACUUUUUUAUUAAUAUUUUUAUUAUUAUUUUGUAACAUGGUGCCAAAUAUAAUAAUUACCUCUCAUUUUUUGUUAAACCAACAAACAAACAGGCUGAUCAUACUGUCAAAUGCAUAUAUGAUGUGUUUUGUGCAGGGUUACAAUAUUAUGUUCCUUGUUAUGAAAAUGAAUGUAAUUUAUAUCGGAUUCUGAGUCCAAUUAUUAUUCUUUUUUACUGCGGUUAAACAAUUCACUUCCAUUUGGACACAAGACAAAAAUGCAAAACAUGAACUCAACACAAAUGUUCAAAAUUCAAAAUAGCUUUUAUUCUAAAUUUUGUUUUAUACUUAAGGUUUAGUAUAAAAAAAGUUAAGUGCACCA